GUGGGCCGUUGAAAAAUGGCGACUGUUGCUGAGCUGAAGGCGGGUGAGUGCGAAUGGGAAGCUUGCCGGCUGAACUUUGUCGGCCUUCAGCCUGUGAAAAGGAUGGGACGAAAUGAGGUUUUAAAGGACACCUUGGAAAAAAGAGGAGUAUUAGGGCAUUUAAAAGCAAGGAUUCGAGCUGAAGUUUUCAAUGCUCUUGAUGAUGAAAGUGAACCUCGACCAUUAUUGUCUCAUGAAAACCUUCUAAUUAAUGAAUUAAUUCGGGAGUAUUUGGAAUUCAACAAAUAUAAGUAUACAGCAUCUGUCCUCAUAGCAGAAUCUGGUCAACCCAUAGUUCCAUUGGACAGACAGUUUCUCAUCCGUGAACUAAAUGCAUUUGAAGAAUCAAAGGAUAAUACAAUACCUCUUUUAUAUGGAAUUUUAGCUCAUUUCUUGCAUGGAACUAAGGAUGACAUCCAAAAUACAUUUCUGAAAGGGUCUUCACUUCAGCCUCCAAACCCAAAUCUUGGCAGACAACCUAAUGGAAGAAAGCAAAUGGAUCUGAAAGCAAAAUAUUUGUGAAUCACGGUGAUCUCUUGAAGUUGAGAAAACCAAGACUAAGAGGUUCAUUGACUCAUCUAAAGCCUGUAGCUGAUCAUUUUUAGCAGAAUCAACACCCUUGAUUGCCAUUCCUGUACACUUUCCACUUAAAGAAUAUGGAGAAGUUUUCUUAGUUCCUUUUUCAGGUAUUGGUAAGGAACUGUCAUUAUUGCCUACUAUUUGGCAAGAACUUAAAAAACAAAACAAAACACACAGUACAAGAGUAAAUGUCUAAACAUCAGUAGUAUAAUGUGAAAUUCCCUCUAACCUCUUCCCUCCUUGCCUCUCCCUAACGCCUUGAUUUCCCUCCCCUCCACAGAAGGUAGUGCUGUUAGCAGCUUGGUGGGUGUCCUUCAGGAGUCAUUUCUGCAUAUUUAAAUUUAUAUGCACUGUUCCUGUGCAUAUUAUUCCUACAGUUUGCUUUUUUCACUUGUUUUAUCAAUUUAUGUAGAUCUGCUUCUACCUCGUUCUUUCUGUAGUAUUCCAUAGUACUAUUGCUAAUCACUCUUUACUGAUCUACUUUUGUAUCUUUUUUUUUUUUUUUGGCUGCAUUGGGUCUUCAUUGAUGCACAUGAGCUUUCUCUAGUUGUGAGGACCACCUACAGAAGGAGCAGGGGAGGAGCGCUAACACUGAAAACCUGCACACUUCUCCCGCAAUGAAGAGAUGACAUUUCCAUGUGGGGCAUUUUUUAUAAACUUGUAUGCAUUAAAUAACUUAUUUAUCCUCCUAAUGUUACCAGAAUUCAUCACUAAUAUUUGUACUUUGUGGAAAUGUGAGUUUCUGCAAAACCUUUAGCCCCUUGUGUUUUACUGCAUUUGUGAAUAAAAGCUAACUCUGUCAUCUAGCUUACCAGAUUUGACUUGAAAGAAAAUGUGUUGUUUUUAGGAAGAUUUUAAAGGCCCCUAAAGUUUUGAGAAAUGAAAGGGUUUUUUAGUUCCCUAUAAAUUCUUCUAAAAAAAAAUCAGGUCUUUAUAGCCAUACGCUCUGUUCUUUGUUUGGCUGCACCACAUGGCUUCCAGGAUCUUAGUACCCCAGCCAGAGACUGAGCCCAGGCCCCCGCAGUGAAAGCACUGAGUCCUGACCACUGGACUGCCAGGGAAUUCCCUGCUCUGUUCUUUACCAUGGCACAUUAAUGAAAUUUCCUUCAGGCUGGAAUUAUGUGGAUUUAUAGGAAAAUUCAUUCAUGUUUAAAAAAAAAAAAUUUAAAAGAACACCAAAACCAGAAAAAACUAUAAUUCCUAUAAAGUUUGAUUGUUUUCGGGGGUGGAGCUAGCUAUUUUUCAGAUAACCAUUUAUAAUUAGGUUUAAGUAUCUGAAUUACUACCUAAAUUUGAACAUUGAAACUUGGUAACGACGUACUUUUUCUUUCCUUAGACAGUUUGGUUUCUCUUAGAAGAUUUAAUUAAAAGGUGUGUGGGGGGGAAUAAUUCUUUUAAUUCUGCUGUAAGUAAACCAAGAGUUUAUUACGUGAAGAAUGUGGAAUAAACAUGAAGAGACAGGCUUUAUGAGAAAUACCAGAAAGUACCUUUUAAAAGAUGGCAUUGUUUAACCUCCAUGUGGCCUUCAGUUGUGCAAUUACAAGAUGAGCUAUGAAAGGGCCAACUCUUACUUGUAUGGGCUCUGAGUGUCUUAUUAAAUGUCGAUUUUUAUUCUUGGGGUAGAAAAAUAGUAAGAGCUCUUAUAGUGCCAUCUCUAAAAUGCUACUUUGAUAUUCAUUGACAUUUUUAUAAUGUGGAGUCUUCAGACUGAUUUCACUGAAAACAACAAACUAUUAUAGUAGACACCUGAUUGGCACAAAUCAUAAGGUGUAUUCAGAACAAAACUGCAUGGGCGCCUGUACACUGACAACAUUUAGCUUAAACAUUUUCCACAGGGAAGGUGAUAAGCGCUGUAGUUGACAGAAUUGGCGUUCUUUUCAGGGUAUAGAUUCUGUGCUGCUUUUGGAAAUUAUUGAAACUUGAUUUUAUUUUUGGUGGUAGUCAGGGUUCAGUCCUUACAGAUUAACCAAGAACUUUUAUCUGAAUGCAGAAAAUUAUUUAAAAAAUUGCCUUAAACCAUACUUUACAAGUCAAAGGAUUUUGAGAGGCCCUAUUGGUGGGCUAAAAUUACAUAUACAGAUGUAGAAGUAUUAUAAGGGCUCAUUUCCAUUUUUUAAAUGAAAUCUAUAGUACCUGAUUACAGUUAUGAAUUCCAUUGUAUUGUAUGGGGAGUAUAAAUAUCUGAAUUAUUCUCAGAGGAUUUAGUUUACAUGCAGGGCUGUUGGUAGUGGACACUGUUUACCUCAGGAAUUGCAAUCAUGCAGGACUGGGUUAAGAAAAAAUGCUGGAGUUUGUCAUUUUGGAUACUGAUAUAAAAUCAUCAAAAUAGAAGCUAAACAGAAUUGUCACAUGUAGUCUAUAGCACAUUUGUAUGCAUUAUUCUAUAACUGGUUUGUACCUAGGCAACUUUUAUACUUUAAGUGUAUCAUUUAAUAAAAAAAAAAAAAAAUUCAAGCAA
This is an RNA transcript of Aethalodelphis obliquidens (Pacific white-sided dolphin), 3076 nucleotides long. It is a transcript of the gene named centrosomal protein 20, with no coding region annotated. The transcript has 7 exons. Lineage: Eukaryota; Metazoa; Chordata; Mammalia; Artiodactyla; Delphinidae. The record is from RefSeq and is a predicted model, not a curated record.